Molecule: ribosomal RNA, 744 nt
Filed under: uncultured bacterium
Lineage: Bacteria
Description: bacterial SSU rRNA
Rfam family: Bacterial small subunit ribosomal RNA
Source: RNAcentral
GGGUGAGUAACGCGUAUCCAACCUGCCUUACACUCUUGGACAGCCUUCUGAAAGGGAGAUUAAUACAAGAUGUUAUCAUGAGUAAGCAUUUUCGCAUGAUUAAAGGUUUACCGGUGUAAGAUGGGGAUGCGUUCCAUUAGAUAGUAGGCGGGGUAACGGCCCACCUAGUCUUCGAUGGAUAGGGGUUCUGAGAGGAAGGUCCCCCACAUUGGAACUGAGACACGGUCCAAACUCCUACGGGAGGCAGCAGUGAGGAAUAUUGGUCAAUGGACGAGAGUCUGAACCAGCCAAGUAGCGUGAAGGAUGAAGGUUCUAUGGAUUGUAAACUUCUUUUAUACGGGAAUAAACGAAUCCACGCGUGGAUUUUUGCAUGUACCGUAUGAAUAAGGAUCGGCUAACUCCGUGCCAGCAGCCGCGGUAAUACGGAGGAUCCGAGCGUUAUCCGGAUUUAUUGGGUUUAAAGGGAGCGUAGAUGGGUUGUUAAGUCAGUUGUGAAAGUUUGCGGCUCAACCGUAAAAUUGCAAUUGAUACUGGCAGUCUUGAGUACAGUUGAGGUAGGCGGAAUUCGUGGUGUAGCGGUGAAAUGCUUAGAUAUCACGAAGAACUCCGAUUGCGAAGGCAGCUUACUAACCUGUAACUGACAUUGAUGCUCGAAAGUGUGGGUAUCAAACAGGAUUAGAUACCCUGGUAGUCCACACGGUAAACGAUGAAUACUCGCUGUAGGCGAUAUACGGUCUGCGGCCA